ACCCAGCUGGCUCAGUCGGGAGAGCGUGCGACUCUUGAUCUUGGGGUCGUGAGUUCGAGCCCCACCUUGGGUG
RNAcentral lists this transfer RNA (73 nucleotides) under Felis catus (domestic cat). It matches the Rfam family "tRNA". From Rfam's summary of the family: Transfer RNA (tRNA) molecules are approximately 80 nucleotides in length. Their secondary structure includes four short double-helical elements and three loops (D, anti-codon, and T loops). Lineage: Eukaryota; Metazoa; Chordata; Mammalia; Carnivora; Felidae. The record is from Rfam by way of RNAcentral. RNAcentral also lists the same sequence under 5 other names.